UUCAAUACUUUCUAAGGUUAACAUGUACGUGUGUUUUUCCAGUGUCCUCAUCCACUAAGCCCCGGCAGCCUCCCGGCGAGGUGCUGUCGGUGGCGGGCUACCACUACAGCAGACACGGCGUCAACAAGUACAACGCCGUGUGGUGGCGCUGCACCCGCACCUCCGCCGGCUGCCCUUGCUCACUCAUCACCGUUGAUGAUAAAAUCGUCAGGGUCAUUAACCGACAUUCUCAUUGACACGGAUAUCGUGUCACAAUCCAUGUGGUUCUCAAGGUCUAGACGCGACCAGCCCAUUUUGCACAUCGGGAUAAACAAAUUCCACCGUCAUAGUCGCUGCAAGGGGCCUAAGGUCCAGUGGCUGUGUGCCAAGUGGUUCAAAGGUUGCCGAGCCAUGGUCACUACGAUUGACAAUCAAAUAAUUAAGACGUCAAACAGACACAAUCAUUUUUAAAUACGAUACAGAGAAGAAGAUUUUAAGAUAGAGGCUGCGUUGAGUGCAGGAAUCUUACAUGAACACAUCACGCCUCUUGUCGUAGGGAAUGCACCUACAAAUUACCAAGUCCAUAGGAUCUUACUUUUACAAUAUAAUAGUAAUAAUAAAUUGUAUGUACCCUACACAACAAUUUAAUAAAGAUAUAUUAAAAACAAAAAUAAUUUUCGUACUCUAAUAGAUAUAUUUCUUUCAGUAGAUCAGUAAGAGAAGAAAAUAAUAAA
Molecule: long non-coding RNA, 713 nt
Organism: Amyelois transitella
Lineage: Eukaryota; Metazoa; Arthropoda; Insecta; Lepidoptera; Pyralidae
Exons: 3
Source: RefSeq, a predicted model, not a curated record